Dictyocaulus viviparus (bovine lungworm) is the source of this 181-nucleotide non-coding RNA. NCBI's taxonomy places the organism in Eukaryota, Metazoa, Nematoda, Chromadorea, Rhabditida, Metastrongylidae. The record is from Rfam.
GAAAUCAUACUAUACAGAAUCAUUUCUGCAGUGUGUAUUUCACAGUACCAACUAUACAGCAACACCUAGAAGCCGCGAUGAACGGUUGAAGGGCGAGUUGCGAGCGGGAAGAACGCGCUUCAGCGCUGAUGACCGCGGUUUGGCAGCGAUGCUGAGCCAGUGACUUGCUCAUCUGAGCGGU